This is an RNA transcript of Manihot esculenta (cassava), 2832 nucleotides long. It is a transcript of the gene named heat stress transcription factor A-4a, with no coding region annotated. Lineage: Eukaryota; Viridiplantae; Streptophyta; Magnoliopsida; Malpighiales; Euphorbiaceae. The record is from RefSeq and is a predicted model, not a curated record. The transcript is spliced from 4 exons.
AUUAGGAAAUUUCUUACGCGGCUCCAGGGCGACGAAACCCCCCACCCCCCACCAAAAGAAUCCAUAGACGACGACGGAACAAAUCGUUUUCAUAUCUCAAAUCGACGUCGCCAUUCGGCACUCUCUAGUCUCUGCAGCUGCUUCAUUCAAAAUUGGAACAAAAAAAAAAAUCACUGAAUUAAUCAAACUAUUGAUUUUACUUUAGCUCCAAGUAUUGAUUUUCUGUAUAAAAUUUCUGGUUAUUGUUGCCGAUGAUAUGAUUAAACUAAAAAUUAUUUCUGUUUAACGACUUGUCAAAUGUAUAUUAUUUCCAUAUAAUAGCAGAACUGAAUUAUUUAUUUACAGGAAGCUUAGACUGUUGCGUUUGGGAUUAUAAAUUUUACUUUGAUUUUGUCUGUUUAUUUGUUUGUUUAUUUUCUUGUUUCGGCCGCGUUUUAAUUGGGAGCAGGAAUUGGGUCCUCUUGAUAUUUGUAGAUUUGAUUCGAGUAUCAUUUUAAUUUGAAAUUGAAAGCUAUUUUCUACUCUGAAUCGCGAUUGUUAUGUAAUUGUCCGAGUAAGAAGAGGGUUUAACUUCGUUGGUGAAUUUUGUAUACAACUUUGGGUAGAAAUUAGGGCUUUUGAAUUGGGUUCUUAGGUUUUUGUAGGGGGUGGUUGAUUGCUUGUUGGAGUGAACUAUACGAGAGGCCAAAAAACAGCUGAUUUUUCUUAUUGAGUGUUGUCCAAGAACGAGUGUUUAUUGGGUUCUUUUGUUUUGAUGUGAUUUGAGAGGCUUUUAGUCUGAAUUCAAUGAUUGUGAGUUGGUUUUCUUUCUUUUUGUCAAUUCGGCGCUUGUGGAAUCCUCCUGAAGGUUAGAAGGGUUUGACUUUACCGGAAUAGAGAUGGCGGCUCAUCUAAGAUUUUGCAAUUGAAUAUUAUAGGGGAACUGAAAAUUUUCCUAUUCAAUCUUGGAGAUUUUAAUUGUUGCGGUUUCGAUUAGAGAUUGAAAUGUAGGAUGGAUAAAUCUCAGGGCAGUUCCAAUUCGCUGCCUUCUUUCCUUUCAAAGACAUAUGAGAUGGUGGAUGAUCCUUCAACAGAUUCAGUCGUUUCAUGGAGUCAGAGCAAUAAAAGCUUUAUUGUAUGGAAUCCACCAGAGUUUGCGAGGGAUUUGCUUCCAAAAUUCUUUAAGCACAAUAACUUCUCAAGCUUCAUCAGGCAGCUCAACACAUAUGGUUUUAGAAAGAUUGAUCCAGAACAAUGGGAAUUUGCCAAUGAAGAUUUUAUACGGGGUCAACCACACCUUAUGAAGAAAAUUCAUAGACGGAAGCCAGUUCACAGCCAUUCUGUGCAAAAUGAAAAUAUCCACGGACGGGGAUCUAAUCCAUUAACCGAUUCAGAAAGACAGAGUUUGAAGGUUUACAUAGAGAGGCUUGAAGAAGAGAAAAAAGUUCUUAUCUUGGAGUUACAGAGGCAUGAACAGGAGAGGCAAGGAUUUGAGAUGCAAGUGCAGGCAUUGAAGGUUAAAUUGCAACAGAUGGAGAAAAGGCAGCAAACUUUGGUGUCUUGUAUGGCCCAAGUCUUGCAGAAACCUGGGCUUGCUAUAAAUCUCAUGUCACAGUUGGAGCCAGGCCAUGAUAGAAAGAGAAGGUUGCCAAGAAUUGGAUAUUUCUCUAAUGAGGCCAGCAUUGAGGAUAAUCAUAUGGUGACUUGUCAAACUCACGCCGGAGAAAAUGCGGAUAGUAAUUCUGUUGCACAGACAAACAUGGAGCAGUUUGAGCAAUUGGAGUCAUCUUUGACAUUUUGGGAGAGUAUCCUAAAUGAUGUCCAAAUCAACGCUCAAAUUAAUUCAACCUUAGAGUUGGAUGAAUCCACAAGUUGUGCUGAAAGCCCCGCCGUAUCUUGUGUACAAUUUAUUGUUGAUGUUCGGCCCAAAUCUCCUUCAAUUGACAUGAAUUCUGAGCCCGCUGUAGCUUCAGCCACAGAUUCUGUUCCUCCGAGGGAACAUGCACCUGGGCCUGCUCCUUCUGCAGCAGCUGGGGUCAAUGAUGUAUUCUGGGAACAGUUUUUGACUGAGAAUCCUGGUUCAACUGACAAACAGGAAGUUCAAUAUGAAAGAAAGGAUUCUGGUGGUAGAAAACAUGAGAUCAAACCCAGUGAUCAGGGACAGUUUUGGUGGAAUAUGAGGAAUGUAAAUAAUAUUGCAAAACAGAUGGGACAUCUUACUCCUGCAGAGAGAACCUGAAAUUUGCUUGAGCGGUUUUUAUCUUUUGAUGAUCUGAGCCUCACAUGUAAUAAAUUAGGUUUUGACAUCUACCAUACUCAGGGAGGAAAUAUGUCAGUCACCUUUAACGAUGAAAAUGAUUUUGGUACCUAAUUCAACAAUACUUUCAGAAGCUCCUCCUUUCUAUUUAUGUGUUAUGCCAGGGAACUGGGUGACUGCCAUGGAAAUUUCUUUUUUGCUCCGAGAUCUCAUCUAGUGGGAGAAUUGUGAAAGCACAUACUGCCAGUCGUGGGAUUGUUUGCUUGCUUGGGAUCCUAUCGUUGAACUGGAUGGGCAUGCAUACGUGGUAGAUAAAACCAAAUUCCAAUGACCUUUUGGUUUGGUCUCUUUUUUUUUUUUUUAUUCCUAUCUGGUCAUUUUAUUUGAUUUUGUGCAUCUUCCUGAUGAACUGAAGGCUCUGAAAUCCAAAAUUGAUGCCUUUCCAACUGAUUCUUGCUCUGUCUGAGUUUCCAUGCCAGCGUAUUUGUCACCUUCUAUCCUCUAAAUGAUUUCAAAAUGAUAUAAAGGUCAUGCUUUAGGCUUUAGCAAAGCAGCAUAGUACUUGAUAAUAAAUGAUAGGCGAAAAAUUGGCCUCA